RNAcentral lists this ribosomal RNA (452 nucleotides) under uncultured bacterium. RNAcentral's name for it is "bacterial SSU rRNA". It matches the Rfam family "Bacterial small subunit ribosomal RNA", at positions 8 to 507 of the family's 1533-position model. The record is from RNAcentral.
AGAGUUUGAUCAUGGCUCAGAGCGAACGCUGGCGGCAGGCCUAAUACAUGCAAGUCGAGCGGGUCCUUCGGGAUUAGCGGCGGACGGGUGAGUAACGCGUGGGAACGUGCCCUUUGGUACGGAACAACUGAGGGAAACUUCAGCUAAUACCGUAUGUGCCCUUCGGGGAAAGAUUUAUCGCCAUUGGAGCGGCCCGCGUUGGAUUAGGUAGUUGGUGAGGUAAAGGCUCACCAAGCCUACGAUCCAUAGCUGGUCUGAGAGGAUGACCAGCCACACUGGGACUGAGACACGGCCCAGACUCCUACGGGAGGCAGCAGUAGGGAAUCUUGCGCAAUGGGCGAAAGCCUGACGCAGCCAUGCCGCGUGAAUGAUGAAGGUCUUAGGAUUGUAAAAUUCUUUCACCGGGGACGAUAAUGACGGUACCCGGAGAAGAAGCCCCGGCUAACUUCGUG